CCUACGGGAGGCUGCAGUGGGGGAUAUUGGACAAUGGGGGAAACCCUGAUCCAGCGACGCCGCGUGAGUGAAGAAGUAUUUCGGUAUGUAAAGCUCUAUCAGCAGGGAAGAAAGAAAUGACGGUACCUGAGUAAGAAGCCCCGGCUAACUACGUGCCAGCAGCCGCGGUAAUACGGAGGGGGCAAGCGUUAUCCGGAAUUACUGGGUGUAAAGGGAGCGUAGACGGUAAUGCAAGUCUGGAGUGAAAGGCGGGGGCCCAACCCCCGGACUGCUCUGGAAACUGUGUAACUGGAGUGCAGGAGAGGCAGGCGGAAUUCCUAGUGUAGCGGUGAAAUGCGUAGAUAUCAGGAGGAACACCAGUGGCGAAGGCGGCCUGCUGGCACGUAACUGACGUUGAGGCUCGAAAGCGUGGGGAGCAAACAGGAUUAGAUACCCCUGUAGUC
Molecule: ribosomal RNA, 443 nt
Filed under: uncultured bacterium
Lineage: Bacteria
Description: partial 16S ribosomal RNA
Rfam family: Bacterial small subunit ribosomal RNA
Source: RNAcentral